Molecule: ribosomal RNA, 251 nt
Filed under: uncultured Fusobacteriaceae bacterium
Lineage: Bacteria; Fusobacteriati; Fusobacteriota; Fusobacteriia; Fusobacteriales; Fusobacteriaceae
Description: partial 16S ribosomal RNA
Rfam family: Bacterial small subunit ribosomal RNA
Source: RNAcentral
UACGUAUGUCGCAAGCGUUAUCCGGAUUUAUUGGGCGUAAAGCGCGUCUAGGCGGUUUGGUAAGUCUGAUGUGAAAAUGCGGGGCUCAACUCCGUAUUGCGUUGGAAACUGCCAAACUAGGGUACUGGAGAGGUAGGCGGAACUACAAGUGUAGAGGUGGAAUUCGUAGAUAUUUGUAGGAAUGCCGAUGGGGAAGCCAGCCUACUGGACAGAUACUGACGCUAAAGCACGAAAGCGUGGGGAGCAAAAAG